ACGGUUCAAGACAUACCUUUCGACAACCAAAAAGCACUGAUCUAGUAUCACAACCAUUGCUAUGGAUAACAUAAUAAGAUAAGGUAACAACAGUAUAAUCCCCGCAGUAGCUUUUAUGCUUCUCCUAAAUGCCUUUGAAUAGCAUAUGUAUGUACAUACGUACAUGCAUACAUACAUAGAGACGUAUCUACAUACAUCACAGGUAUUUAUGAUAGGAAGUAUAUAUAUUUCACUAACCAAACUUCAGCCAUAGAGUUUAUGACCCGCUUCACCCGAGAUCAGGUACAGUGAAGAACUCAUCAUCUUCAUCAGAAAUGU
Molecule: long non-coding RNA, 318 nt
Filed under: Jatropha curcas
Lineage: Eukaryota; Viridiplantae; Streptophyta; Magnoliopsida; Malpighiales; Euphorbiaceae
Description: long non-coding RNA (JCUR_LNC000505)
Source: RNAcentral